Molecule: transfer RNA, 102 nt
Filed under: Pyricularia grisea
Lineage: Eukaryota; Fungi; Ascomycota; Sordariomycetes; Magnaporthales; Pyriculariaceae
Description: tRNA-Val
Source: RNAcentral
GGUUCGGUGGUGUAGUUGGUUAAUCACAACAGUCUAACAAACUGUGCAGUUCACUGUGCAAUGUUCCACUGUAGGUCCUCAGUUCGAGCCUGGGCCGAAUCA